RNAcentral lists this transfer RNA (72 nucleotides) under Phrynosoma platyrhinos (Desert horned lizard). Its description in RNAcentral is "tRNA-OTHER". It matches the Rfam family "tRNA". From Rfam's summary of the family: Transfer RNA (tRNA) molecules are approximately 80 nucleotides in length. Their secondary structure includes four short double-helical elements and three loops (D, anti-codon, and T loops). The record is from RNAcentral. Lineage: Eukaryota; Metazoa; Chordata; Lepidosauria; Squamata; Phrynosomatidae.
GCCAGUGUGACUUAGUGGUUUGAGUGUUGGACAGUGAAUCUGGAGACCAGGGUUCAGUUCCCUGCUUGGCCA